Molecule: ribosomal RNA, 447 nt
Filed under: uncultured bacterium
Lineage: Bacteria
Description: SSU rRNA
Rfam family: Bacterial small subunit ribosomal RNA
Source: RNAcentral
AGAACGAACGCUGGCGGCAGGCCUAAUACAUGCAAGUCGAACGCACUCUUCGGAGUGAGUGGCAGACGGGUGAGUAACGCGUGGGAACCUUCCCAAUGGUACGGAAUAACUCCGGGAAACCGGUGCUAAUACCGUAUAAGCCCCUCGGGGGAAAGAUUUAUCGCCAUUGGAUGGGCCCGCGUCGGAUUAGCUAGUUGGUAAGGUAAUGGCUUACCAAGGCUAUGAUCCGUAGCUGGUCUGAGAGGAUGAUCAGCCACACUGGGACUGAGACACGGCCCAGACUCCUACGGGAGGCAGCAGCGGGGAAUAUUGCACAAUGGGCGAAAGCCUGAUGCAGCGACGCCGCGUGGGGGAUGAAGGCUCUCGGGUUGUAAACCCCUUUCAGGCAGGGACGAAACAGACGGUACCUGCAGAAGAAGCUCCGGCCAACUACGUGCCAGCAGCCGC